RNAcentral lists this ribosomal RNA (496 nucleotides) under uncultured bacterium. RNAcentral describes it as "partial 16S ribosomal RNA". It matches the Rfam family "Bacterial small subunit ribosomal RNA", at positions 28 to 507 of the family's 1533-position model. The record is from RNAcentral.
GAUGAACGCUGGCGGCGUGCCUAAUACAUGCAAGUCGAGCGAACGGACGAGAAGCUUGCUUCUCUGAUGUUAGCGGCGGACGGGUGAGUAAAACGUGGAUAACCUACCUAUAAGACUGGGAUAACUUCGGGAAACCGGAGCUAAUACCGGAUAAUAUUUUGAACCGCAUGGUUCAAAAGUGAAAGACGGUCUUGCUGUCACUUAUAGAUGGAUCCGCGCUGCAUUAGCUAGUUGGUAAGGUAACGGCUUACCAAGGCAACGAUGCAUAGCCGACCUGAGAGGGUGAUCGGCCACACUGGAACUGAGACACGGUCCAGACUCCUACGGGAGGCAGCAGUAGGAAUCUUCCGCAAUGGGCGAAAGCCUGACGGAGCAACGCCGCGUGAGUGAUGAAGGUCUUCGGAUCGUAAAACUCUGUUAUUAGGGAAGAACAUAUGUGUAAGUAACUGUGCACAUCUUGACGGUACCUAAUCAGAAAGCCACGGCUAACUACGUG